Molecule: ribosomal RNA, 253 nt
Filed under: uncultured bacterium
Lineage: Bacteria
Description: partial 16S ribosomal RNA
Rfam family: Bacterial small subunit ribosomal RNA
Source: RNAcentral
UACGUAGGUGGCAAGCGUUGUUCGGAAUUAUUGGGCGUAAAGGGCGCGUAGGCGGUUUGUUAAGUCGGCUGUGAAAGCCCGGGGCUUAACCCCGGGCGUGCAGUGGAUACGGGCCGGCUGGAGGCAGGCAGGGGAGAAUGGAAUUCCCGGUGUAGCGGUAAAAUGCGCAGAUAUCGGGAGGAACACCGGUGGCGAAGGCGGUUCUCUGGGCCUGUACUGACGCUGAGGAGCGAAAGCGUGGGGAGCGAACAGG